RNAcentral lists this non-coding RNA (119 nucleotides) under Sporolactobacillus inulinus. Its description in RNAcentral is "SAM-I sequence". It matches the Rfam family "SAM riboswitch aptamer (S box leader)". Rfam says of the family: The SAM riboswitch is found upstream of a number of genes which code for proteins involved in methionine or cysteine biosynthesis in Gram-positive bacteria. The record is from Rfam by way of RNAcentral. RNAcentral also lists the same sequence under 1 other name. Lineage: Bacteria; Bacillati; Bacillota; Bacilli; Caryophanales; Sporolactobacillaceae.
CUCUUAUUCCGAGUAGGCAGAGGGACAGGCCCGAUGAAGCCCAGCAACCGGUCGCAUACGGCACGGUGCUAACCUGCAGAAUAACGAGGAUGAUCUUCUCGUUAUUCUGAUAAUAAGAG